RNAcentral lists this ribosomal RNA (423 nucleotides) under uncultured bacterium. RNAcentral's name for it is "partial 16S ribosomal RNA". It matches the Rfam family "Bacterial small subunit ribosomal RNA", at positions 360 to 774 of the family's 1533-position model. The record is from RNAcentral.
AAUCUUCCUCAAUGGACGAAAGUCUGACGGAGCAAUGCCGCGUGAGUGAUGAAGGCCUUAGGUUCGUAAAUCUCUGCUUUUAGGGAAGAAUAGGUAUCGGAGUAAUAUGCCGGUACUUCGACGGUACCUUACCAGAUAGCUCCGGCUAACCACGUUCCAGCAGCCGCGGUAAUACGCAGGGGGCGAGCGUUGUCCGGAAAUAUUGGGCGUAAAGGGCGCGCAGGCGGUUUCUUAAGUCUGAUGGGAAAUCUCGUGGCUUAAACACGAGCGGUCGUUGGAAACUGGGAAACUUGAGUACAGAAGAGGAGAGUGGAAUUCCACGUGUAGCGGUGAAAUGCGUAGAGAUGUGGAGGAACACCAGUGGCGAAGGCGGCUCUCUGGUCUGUAACUGACGCUGAGGUGCGAAAGCGUGGGGAGCAAACA